This 497-nucleotide ribosomal RNA is filed under the name uncultured bacterium. RNAcentral describes it as "partial 16S ribosomal RNA". It matches the Rfam family "Bacterial small subunit ribosomal RNA", at positions 28 to 507 of the family's 1533-position model. The record is from RNAcentral.
GAUGAACGCUGGCGGCGUGCCUAAUACAUGCAAGUCGAGCGAACGGACUAGAAGCUUGCUUCUCUGAUGUUAGAGGCGGACGGGUGAGUAACACGUGGAUAACCUACCUAUAAGACUGGGAUAACUUCGGGAAACCGUAGCUAAUACCGGAUAAUAUUUUGAACCGCAUGGUUCAAAAGUGAAAGACGGUCUUGCUGUCACUUAUAGAUGGAUCCGCGCUGCAUUAGCUAGUUGGUAAGGUAACGGCUUACCAAGGCAACGAUGCAUAGCCGACCUGAGAGGGUGAUCGGCCACACUGGAACUGAGACACGGUCCAGACUCCUACGGGAGGCAGCAGUAGGGAAUCUUCCGCAAUGGGCGAAAGCCUGACGGAGCAACGCCGCGUGAGUGAUGAAGGUCUUCGGAUCGUAAAACUCUGUUAUUAGGGAAGAACAUAUGUGUAAGUAACUGUGCACAUCUUGACGGUACCUAAUCAGAAAGCCACGGCUAACUACGUG